UGGGGAAUAUUGGACAAUGGGCGAAAGCCUGAUCCAGCAACGCCGCGUGAGUGAUGAAGGCCUUCGGGUCGUAAAGCUCUGUCGGUUGGAACGAAUAAAAGCCACCUAAUACGUGGCUUUAUGACGGUACCAGCAAAGGAAGCACCGGCUAACUACGUGCCAGCAGCCGCGGUAAUACGUAGGGACCAAGCGUUGUUCGGAUUUACUGGGCGUAAAGGGCGCGUAGGCGGCAAUUCAAGUCAUCUGUGAAAUCUCCGGGCUUAACUCGGAACGGUCAGAUGAUACUGCUUUGCUAGAGUGCAGAAGGGGCAAUCGGAAUUCUUGGUGUAGCGGUGAAAUGCGUAGAUAUCAAGAGGAACACCUGAGGUGAAGACGGGUUGCUGGGCUGACACUGACGCUGAGGCGCGAAAGCCAGGGGAGCAAACGGGAUUAGAUACCCCAGUAGUCCCUGAGCGGGCUGGCAAGGCGCAU
RNAcentral lists this ribosomal RNA (471 nucleotides) under uncultured bacterium. RNAcentral describes it as "bacterial SSU rRNA". It matches the Rfam family "Bacterial small subunit ribosomal RNA", at positions 355 to 825 of the family's 1533-position model. The record is from RNAcentral.